AAAUUGAAGAGUUUGAUCAUGGCUCAGAUUGAACGCUGGCGGCAGGCCUAACACAUGCAAGUCGAACGGUAACAGGAAGCAGCUUGCUGCUUUGCUGACGAGUGGCGGACGGGUGAGUAAUGUCUGGGAAACUGCCUGAUGGAGGGGGAUAACUACUGGAAACGGUAGCUAAUACCGCAUAACGUCGCAAGACCAAAGAGGGGGACCUUCGGGCCUCUUGCCAUCGGAUGUGCCCAGAUGGGAUUAGCUAGUAGGUGGGGUAACGGCUCACCUAGGCGACGAUCCCUAGCUGGUCUGAGAGGAUGACCAGCCACACUGGAACUGAGACACGGUCCAGACUCCUACGGGAGGCAGCAGUGGGGAAUAUUGCACAAUGGGCGCAAGCCUGAUGCAGCCAUGCCGCGUGUAUGAAGAAGGCCUUCGGGUUGUAAAGUACUUUCAGCGG
RNAcentral lists this ribosomal RNA (445 nucleotides) under Escherichia coli. Its description in RNAcentral is "bacterial SSU rRNA". It matches the Rfam family "Bacterial small subunit ribosomal RNA", at positions 1 to 442 of the family's 1533-position model. RNAcentral also lists the same sequence under 1 other name. Lineage: Bacteria; Pseudomonadati; Pseudomonadota; Gammaproteobacteria; Enterobacterales; Enterobacteriaceae. The record is from RNAcentral.